Molecule: ribosomal RNA, 586 nt
Filed under: uncultured Bacillus sp.
Lineage: Bacteria; Bacillati; Bacillota; Bacilli; Caryophanales; Bacillaceae
Description: bacterial SSU rRNA
Rfam family: Bacterial small subunit ribosomal RNA
Source: RNAcentral
CGUUAGCGGCGGACGGGUGAGUAACACGUGGGCAACCUGCCUGUAAGACUAGGAUAACUUCGGGAAACCGAAGCUAAUACCGGAUAGGAUCUUCUCCUUCAUGGGAGAUGAUUGAAAGAUGGUUUCGGCUAUCACUUACAGAUGGGCCCGCGGUGCAUUAGCUAGUUGGUGAGGUAACGGCUCACCAAGGCAACGAUGCAUAGCCGACCUGGGAGGGUGAUCGGCCACACUGGGACUGAGACACGGCCCAGACUCCUACGGGAGGCAGCAGUAGGGAAUCUUCCGCAAUGGACGAAAGUCUGACGGAGCAACGCCGCGUGAGUGAUGAAGGCUUUCGGGUCGUAAAACUCUGUUGUUAGGGAAGAACAAGUACAAGAGUAACUGCUUGUACCUUGACGGUACCUAACCAGAAAGCCACGGCUAACUACGUGCCAGCAGCCGCGGUAAUACGUAGGUGGCAAGCGUUAUCCGGAAUUAUUGGGCGUAAAGCGCGCGCAGGCGGUUUCUUAAGUCUGAUGUGAAAGCCCACGGCUCAACCGUGGAGGGUCAUUGGAAACUGGGGAACUUGAGUGCAGAAGAGAAAAGC